This 376-nucleotide small RNA is filed under the name Arabidopsis thaliana (thale cress). Its description in RNAcentral is "ATSL013410". Lineage: Eukaryota; Viridiplantae; Streptophyta; Magnoliopsida; Brassicales; Brassicaceae. The record is from RNAcentral.
AAAAAAUAUAUUACCUCGGAUCUUUGGAGCAUUAAGCACAAGUUUAGACCAUCUCCUUCGGUCUAAUACUGUAUGGGUUUCUCAACAAUAUUAUUUAAAUCAGUUUAUAAUAAUUAAAUUAUUUAUCUAAAUUUUAAACUAUAAAAAGAGAAUUUAACCAAUAAUAUGAAGACAUGUGGAGAAACAGUUUCUCAAAGUUUCUGAAACCAGAAACGUUUCUGAAACCAGAAACGUUUCUGGACGUUUCUGACUCUCUCUCCUACUUUUUCAUUAUUUUAUAUUUUUUUAGUCACCAGAUAUUCUCCCAGAUACUAUUGAUGGAGAUGCCCUUAGACGCUUAACAGAUGUGAAAGCUCCAAGAAAUUUCUCAUAUUCA